Molecule: ribosomal RNA, 429 nt
Filed under: Chloroflexota bacterium
Lineage: Bacteria; Bacillati; Chloroflexota
Description: Chloroflexi bacterium partial 16S ribosomal RNA
Rfam family: Bacterial small subunit ribosomal RNA
Source: RNAcentral
UGGGGAAUAUUGCACAAUGGGCGCAAGCCUGAUGCAGCCAUGCCGCGUGUAUGAAGAAGGCCUUCGGGUUGUAAAGUACUUUCAGUCGGGAGGAAGGUGGUAAGGUUAAUAACCUUAUCAAUUGACGUUACCGACAGAAGAAGCACCGGCUAACUCCGUGCCAGCAGCCGCGGUAAUACGGAGGGUGCAAGCGUUAAUCGGAAUUACUGGGCGUAAAGCGCACGCAGGCGGUUGAUUGAGUCAGAUGUGAAAUCCCCGGGCUUAACCCGGGAAUUGCAUCUGAUACUGGUCAGCUAGAGUCUUGUAGAGGGGGUUAGAAUUCCAUGUGUAGCGGUGAAAUGCGUAGAGAUGUGGAGGAAUACCGGUGGCGAAGGCGGCCCCCUGGACAAAGACUGACGCUCAGGUGCGAAAGCGUGGGGAGCAAACAGG